GAGGCUCAGAGCCCGCAGUUCCCAGGGACUGUUUCCUGCAGCAGUGCAGCAUUUGCAAACACCCCAUGACUCCCAGGCAUACUGAGCAUUAGGCUGGCUCAUGCCCAAAUUGUAAUGUUGGAAUUUACCCCAACUGGAAAAAAAGAAAAAACCCAAAACAAAUAAAACAUCUUAAAAAGCUCUUUUUGACUUUUAAACCUAUGAAGAGGUCCAGUCUGGCUGGGACUGGCACAGGCACCAAAGCUGCUCUUGCUCUCUGACAGAUUGCAAUAGCUCAACAGCAUGUUAGAGCAGAAGUGGCAAACCAGCUGUGAGUUUGACAAGGGGUUUCGGCAGUGGCACCCAUGACAAUGAGCGUUAAUGCUUUUGAAAUACAUUUUCACCAUUGCAGUUCCUUAGAAGGGACUUUUUACUGGUUACCAGCUUACAUCACCCUGUCCCUUCACCAAAUGCACUGUUCAGUCCAUUUAUGUCAUGCAUUAAAUAGAGACCUAAAUUAACCACACAAUAACAGUUUCAUCACCAGAAAGAGCUGCUAGCACUCAUGGGGAGUAAGACUAUACCUGAAGUGUAGAAAUUGACUGUAAGGUCAUCUUCUUUUCAUUUUUUAAAAAUUCUUUUAUUCUUUCUCUCUGUCUUCCUUGAACUCAACCUCCUCAAGGUACAUGAAAAGCAUAUUACAAGGGACUCAUUAUCUUCCAUUUCUCUGCCUCCUAUUUCUUGCCAAUGGAAGACCAUUUCCCUGAUUUUAGGGAGAAACCCUACAAGUGAUAUAAAAAGUAAGUAUUUAAACUAUCAUGAAGAAAACACCUGCCUGGUUAACCCAACCUGCAUGUGCUGCAAAGAGGAUACCAAAAUAUACACAAACAAUCUGACAUCCCUACAUUUCUUACUCUGUACAUUUCCGACUUAAUUGAGAGAAUGAAGGCGACAUAACUCUGUUUGGAAGGAGGUGCAGUUUGCAUAUUCUAUCUGUAAAUAAUUCUACAUAUUCUAUCUGUAAAAAAAUCUGUAAAUAAAGAAAUCUGGUAAAUUAUUUGUGUAACAGCAAAGUCAGAAUAAAGGAUUGUUUCAUCCCAGGGCUGAUGGUGACUCUCCCAGAUUUUUGUUUCAGUAAAGCACCUUUCAUGUGUAGGUAUUGUUUCUGUUCAGAUCAUUGGCAAAGAGGUACAGGUAUCAGGACAAUUGCAGACAGAGUUUAGAGUCUUAACCUGCUGCGGUGGAGCCAACAACAGAAGCUCAGAUGACUUCAGCCACACAGAUUCAGACCUGAAAGAUCAACACAGGAAAAUAUAUGUGAAAAGGUAUGCAAGAGAAAAAGAGAAAGCAGGUUUCCAUGGGUGUUCUUCGAAAUAGGUAUUUAUUUUAAAAUGUAAUUUUGAUUGUAGAUUUACAUGUUUCAACCAUAUGAAAAAUGUAGAUCACAUGGAGAGUUCUUUCCUGGUUAAAAUAAUUAAAAUAGAAGAUGGAUUUUCACUUUACAUAAUCAUCUCUGAAAUUCUUUAAUUUUUCUUAUUAUUGUGAAAUUUGCACAUCUGCUCUGGCCCAGUAUUCUCCCAGCCUUCCCUGAUAUUCUUUUGUAUCUGCUUACCACUGGCCUGUUGUACAGUAAUACUGAAUUUAGAGGGCUUAUUUUUCCUUGUUAAAAUCCGUGACUCUUUCAGUCUAAUUGGGGGUAUAUAUACAAAAUGACAGUAUUAACAACAUGUACUAUGUAUCAAAAGUACCCCAAAGCAAAUGGUAGACAAGACAGACACAAAUGCUGGUACCUGGUAAGUAAUCAAAUGUGUUCCUAAGCACAACUCCUUUGUAAGUACAAUAACUUCUUGUUUUCUUAACAAGCUAAGUUCAUCCAAUGUCCUUAGCAUAGGUAUGGUCUUUGCAGACACCAGAUGGUACAGUGAGGUUUUUCCUCACCCUAACUCUGUAUUUAAAGUUUACCAUUCCCUCUACUCUGUGCUUGUUCUGCUCCUCUAGAAAUAGCCUUUGAGUUCACACAAACCCAGCUUACAUGGCACUGAGGUUGGGAUGUGGUCUCUGGUAAACCAAAAGGAAAAAACAAAUGAAAGAGUGUUACAUAAACCUCCUGUCUUGAAAUUCUGCCUAGAAAUUAUCAAAACCACAGACAAGCAGAUAGAGCACAGGAUCUCAGCUGCUGAGGUCAUCCGCUUCCUUUGAGAUUAUAUAGAUCAGAAAUACUCAAACCUUUACCACCUUUCCCCACACGUUCAAUUAGUAUUUAGUGCAGACUAGCAGCAUUUUCAGCAAGGUGAAAUGGGCCUGAAAGAAAGCAAGCUGUUUACUAAGUAAGCAGUCCCAGACUGAAUUGCCCCUGAACACUGCAAAUUAUGAAAAAAUUUGGUCAUGUGAAAGACCUCAAAGACCUGUGCCCUUAGAGGUCUGGGCUAGAUUUUUAUCUUAGAUUUCUUAGGCUAAUGUAGUUUCUCAGUUCCUUUCCCAUGACUUUUCUAUUUCUGAUGUUAUCUAAGCAUAUGUGACAUACUUUCCCAUUCAGAUCUAGGGGUACAUAGUUCAUUAACUGGUGUCUUAUAUUUUAGCUAUACAACAUGCUUAGGGAUUGUCAUGGCUACUUUUUAAGCAUGUGGGGAUAUUGGGGGAGGGAAAGAAAGUUCUUGGCGGGGAGUGUUGGUAAAGUUGCUUUUAUUAGAUAUGGAUGUUUGCCAGUAGCUUAACUUUAAAACUAGUGCUGACUGUAAUUUUCAUUUGCUAUAAGGCUUUUGCAGUCCCUUCCCCUUCUUGGCUUUUGUGUAAUUUGGCUUAUUAAAAAUAUUAUUAUUAUUCUUUAUAUAUUCCAAUAAAAGGUUUAAACAACUUA
Passer domesticus (house sparrow) is the source of this 2836-nucleotide long non-coding RNA. RefSeq lists it as uncharacterized. NCBI's taxonomy places the organism in Eukaryota, Metazoa, Chordata, Aves, Passeriformes, Passeridae. The record is from RefSeq and is a predicted model, not a curated record. The transcript has 2 exons.